RNAcentral lists this small nuclear RNA (129 nucleotides) under Cricetulus griseus (Chinese hamster). Its description in RNAcentral is "7SK RNA". It matches the Rfam family "7SK RNA", at positions 203 to 331 of the family's 331-position model. From Rfam's summary of the family: 7SK was discovered as an abundant small nuclear RNA in the mid-70s but a possible function has only recently been suggested. Two independent studies have found that 7SK RNA binds the CDK9/cyclin T complex (known as elongation factor P-TEFb). P-TEFb activates transcription by phosphorylating the C-terminal domain of RNA polymerase II. Lineage: Eukaryota; Metazoa; Chordata; Mammalia; Rodentia; Cricetidae. The record is from Rfam by way of RNAcentral.
UGCGCUCCCCUGCUAGAACCUCCAAACAAGCUCUCAAGGUCCAUUUGUAGGAGAACGUAGGGUAGUCAAGCUUCCAAGACUCCAGACACAUCCAAAUGAGGCGCUGCAUGUGGCAGUCUGCCUUUCUUU